RNAcentral lists this ribosomal RNA (253 nucleotides) under uncultured bacterium. RNAcentral's name for it is "partial 16S ribosomal RNA". It matches the Rfam family "Bacterial small subunit ribosomal RNA", at positions 524 to 776 of the family's 1533-position model. The record is from RNAcentral.
UACAGAGGGGGCAAGCGUUGUUCGGAUUCACUGGGCGUAAAGGGUGCGCAGGCGGCCAAGUGUGUCAGGUGUGAAAUCCCGAGGCUUAACCUCGGAACUGCGCCUGAAACUACUUGGCUAGAGUACUGGAGAGGGUAACGGAAUUCACGGUGUAGCAGUGAAAUGCGUAGAUAUCGUGAGGAACACCAGAGGCGAAGGCGGUUACCUGGACAGUUACUGACGCUCAGGCACGAAAGCGUGGGGAGCAAAAGGG